CGUAUAUGCAAAUGAGUAAAUAUUUUCUUCGCCUGUACAUAUAAAAAGCAAAGCAAAGCACAGAAAAACAAAUUGCGUCUUAAUUUGUCAAGGUUUUACAAUCUACAUUCAGAUAACCAAGAACUAACAAUGAAGAAUUUUCUUCUUAUUCUGCUUUUAUGUGCACUUCUUAUGGCAAUCUGUGAGGCACAAAAUAUGGGAACUUUAUGGUUUUUGAGUAGAAUGAUGAACAGACAAAAUCAACCGAUGAGCUUCAUGGAUAUGAUGCUAAUGAACCAGUAUGACAUCAUUUAACCUCCGAAAAUGAACCCACAAACGAUACUCGACGACGCAAAUGACCUUGACAAGAAUGCCCACUUGUUGUUAUAUUGUUGGAAUCCAUUCACAAUCAACCAGACUGUUCAUUUUAUUUAUAUAACAUUGUAAUUAUCAUCUAACUUUGUAUUUCAUAUUUUAUAACAAAUUCGAUAAAAAGUGUUUCUGUU
Molecule: long non-coding RNA, 485 nt
Organism: Mytilus trossulus (common blue mussel)
Lineage: Eukaryota; Metazoa; Mollusca; Bivalvia; Mytilida; Mytilidae
Exons: 3
Source: RefSeq, a predicted model, not a curated record